UGGGGUAGGAAGGUGGUCGCGCAGGAAGGUUGAUGCCUUCCUGUGAGGAAAGUCCGGGCUCCACAGGGGAGGGCGCCGGGUAAUACCCGGAGGGAGUAAUCCCUGGAUAGGGCCACAGAAAACAGACCGCCCACUGCCCCUAUCUUAGGGGUAAGGGCAAGGGUGAAAAGGUGGGGUAAGAGCCCACCGCAAGCCCUGGUAACAGGGCUUGGCACGGCAACCCCCGCCCGGAGAAAGGCCAAACAGAGCCAUGGGUGCCCCGCCCGAAGGCUCGGGUAGGCCGCUUGAGGCAGAGGGGUAACUCUCUGCCCUAGAGAAAUGACCACCACCUGGGCAUAACCCAGGGACAGAACCCGGCUUACCUACCCCAGCUU
Molecule: RNase P RNA, 374 nt
Filed under: Caldimicrobium sp.
Lineage: Bacteria; Pseudomonadati; Thermodesulfobacteriota; Thermodesulfobacteria; Thermodesulfobacteriales; Thermodesulfobacteriaceae
Description: RNase P RNA component class A
Rfam family: Bacterial RNase P class A
About the family: Ribonuclease P (RNase P) is a ubiquitous endoribonuclease, found in archaea, bacteria and eukarya as well as chloroplasts and mitochondria. Its best characterised activity is the generation of mature 5'-ends of tRNAs by cleaving the 5'-leader elements of precursor-tRNAs.
Source: RNAcentral